AUGCAGGUCUGUACUGCGAGGGCAGGCCCCCUGUGGCUCGACCCUUUCCUGAAGACCUGCUACAGCCACUUGGGGUGGUUUGAGGCCUCGCUGUGUGCCUCCAUGGCGAGGUUAUAGAAACCUCAGACACAC
This is a small nucleolar RNA of Scleropages formosus (Asian bonytongue), 132 nucleotides long. Ensembl annotates it as small nucleolar RNA SNORA9. The record is from Ensembl. NCBI's taxonomy places the organism in Eukaryota, Metazoa, Chordata, Actinopteri, Osteoglossiformes, Osteoglossidae.